This 72-nucleotide transfer RNA is filed under the name Camelus bactrianus (Bactrian camel). It matches the Rfam family "tRNA". Rfam says of the family: Transfer RNA (tRNA) molecules are approximately 80 nucleotides in length. Lineage: Eukaryota; Metazoa; Chordata; Mammalia; Artiodactyla; Camelidae. RNAcentral also lists the same sequence under 2 other names. The record is from Rfam by way of RNAcentral.
GAAGGUAUAGCUCAGUGGUAGAGCUCAUGCUUAGCAUGCAGGAGGUCCUGGGUUCAAUCCCCGGUACCUCCA